GAUGAACGCUGGCGGCGUGCUUAACACAUGCAAGUCGAACGGUGAACACGGAGCUUGCUCUGUGGGAUCAGUGGCGAACGGGUGAGUAACACGUGAGCAACCUGCCCCUGACUCUGGGAUAAGCGCUGGAAACGGCGUCUAAUACUGGAUAUGUGACGUGACCGCAUGGUCUGCGUUUGGAAAGAUUUUUCGGUUGGGGAUGGGCUCGCGGCCUAUCAGCUGGUUGGUGAGGUAAUGGCUCACCAAGGCGUCGACGGGUAGCCGGCCUGAGGGGGUGACCGGCCACACUGGGACUGAGACACGGCCCAGACUCCUACGGGAGGCAGCAGUGGGGAAUAUUGCACAAUGGGCGCAAGCCUGAUGCAGCAACGCCGCGUGAGGGAUGACGGCCUUCGGGUUGUAAACCUCUUUUAGCAGGGAAGAAGCGAAAGUGACGGUACCUGCAGAAAAAGCGCCGGCUAACUACGUG
This 469-nucleotide ribosomal RNA is filed under the name uncultured bacterium. RNAcentral's name for it is "partial 16S ribosomal RNA". It matches the Rfam family "Bacterial small subunit ribosomal RNA", at positions 28 to 507 of the family's 1533-position model. The record is from RNAcentral.